UUUCCGUAGGUGAACCUGCGGAAGGAUCGUUAUUGUAUAAACGAGGUGCGAGGGCUGCCGCUGACCCGAACGGUCGCUCAAGUCAGAGUGUAACCACACUCAUCCAUCACACCCCUAUGUGCAUCACUGCGUGGGUCACCCUCUGGCUUGUUUGGAGGGGGGCUUACUUUUUCACACAAACUUUUUAUGUAGUGUAGAAUGUAUUUUAUGUAUUUGUGAUUACGCUCUCAAUACAACUAUCAACAACGGAUAUCGUGGCUCCCGCAUCGAUGAAGAAAG
Molecule: unclassified non-coding RNA, 279 nt
Filed under: plant metagenome
Description: partial contains small subunit ribosomal RNA, internal transcribed spacer 1, and 5.8S ribosomal RNA
Source: RNAcentral